RNAcentral lists this ribosomal RNA (490 nucleotides) under uncultured bacterium. Its description in RNAcentral is "partial 16S ribosomal RNA". It matches the Rfam family "Bacterial small subunit ribosomal RNA", at positions 29 to 506 of the family's 1533-position model. The record is from RNAcentral.
AGUGAACGCUGGCGGUAGGCCUAACACAUGCAAGUCGAACGGCAGCACAGUAAGAGCUUGCUCUUACGGGUGGCGAGUGGCGGACGGGUGAGGAAUACAUCGGAAUCUACUUUUUCGUGGGGGAUAACGUAGGAAACUUACGCUAAUACCGCAUACGACCUACGGGUGAAAGCAGGGGAUCUUCGGACCUUGCGCGAUUGAAUGAGCCGAUGUCGGAUUAGCUAGUUGGCGGGGUAAAGGCCCACCAAGGCGACGAUCCGUAGCUGGUCUGAGAGGAUGAUCAGCCACACUGGAACUGAGACACGGUCCAGACUCCUACGGGAGGCAGCAGUGGGGAAUAUUGGACAAUGGGCGCAAGCCUGAUCCAGCCAUACCGCGUGGGUGAAGAAGGCCUUCGGGUUGUAAAGCCCUUUUGUUGGGAAAGAAAAGCAGCAGGUUAAUACCCCGCUGUUCUGACGGUACCCAAAGAAUAAGCACCGGCUAACUUCGU